CAUCAUCGACGAGUAUUAUCCACGUAAAAUCGUCACUUUAUCCUCCGCUGCCAGCGCUGGGUUUCUCGCUUCAAAAGUGUGCUGUGCACACACACACACACACACACACCAACAACCGCAACAACACAACACAACGUACUUGAACUGAUCGAGUACAGCAGAGAAAGGAAAGGAGGGCGACAGAGAAGAUCGUCUUUGAUCAGAUCACAGCGAGGCAGCACGGUGGUCGCCGCGCUCGACUGCAGGGACUCCCCUUUACCUCCUUCACGGCUCGUGUGUGUGUGUGUGAGUGUGUUUUUUUUUUGAGCGUCCUCUGCACCUGCUUGCCCCGCAGUGGGUGAGGCGCUUCUCAACUCAUCUUUGCUGGUCCUCCUCACCUCCCCGCAGUCACGACUGCCUGCUCUUAUCUCGCCGUGUUUCUCCGAUCAUCUUCGUCGGUCUUUCGGCCUGGCAUCUCCGACUGUAUUGUGCACGUUGCCGGUGCCUUGCUUUUUCGGUACGUGUGUCUGCUGAUCGCGCACUCAGGCGCUGUGCUCGCCGUGUCGCACUACGGUAGCUUCCACCACCAAGAAGCCCCCCUUCUCUCUCCGUGUGUGCAUAUACCCCUGAGCUGGCGCUGCUUGGCGUGUUCGCCGCCGGUGGUGCGACACAACGCGAAAGGCAGAGGUGCUCAAACGGCGGAAGACUCGGUGUAUAAGCGAACGACGACAAGAGAAGAAAGCGGGAGGGGGUGCAGCCGAGAAGGUACAGCGACGUGGCGCACCAACGCAGGCGGCAGCGUAUCGCGUUUGAUGUAUGUGGGUGCAUGUAAGCAAUCCCCACGGUCGUCAGACACACGCGCAUUGACUGCUUGUGCUGCGGUGAUCGCCUCUCGUUGUUUCGGCUCUGCAAAGGUCAGGUGCGGCAGCUCGCUGCGUCAAUACCUCCCUUCUUGAUUGCGUUUGUAUUCGGCGACAGUCGUGAAGAGGUCUCAGCUUCCCGACCCCACCCCUCUCUUAGCCACCGCCGGCCCCCACCACCCACACACACACACGCUCGCACCGAGGACUACGGUGACACAGCAGCAUCCUCAGGAGGAAGGGCCACAAAAAGCCAUAACGCGAAGGGGGUUUAGUAAGGAAAGGCUCACAGGCACGACAGAGAUGGACAACCACAGUGCCGAUGUGUACAGCGACGCGGCAGACGUCCUGAAGGUGCUGCACGACACGUUAGAGAUGUACGUGUCUUCCAUGCAAGACAUUGAGGACAAGGAGCGCGGAUGCAACACGGCGUCGGCAUCCGCGUCCUCGUCAUCUCUCACCAACUCUGCAGCGAUAGACCUCGCCAUCACCCGACAGCACAUUCAGGAAAAUGUGCCGCGUUUGUUGGACGCGUGCGCAUCUGUGCGGAGUAUGUUGCGCAGGGUCGCUAUGCUGCCCCGUCAGUCCCCGCGACGGAGUGACAGCGAGUCCUUGGGCACGUCUGACAGCUUGGGCAGUUCCACAACGGCGGCAGAGCGUCAUGAAGCCGUCCAUGGCCUCAUCACGCGAAAGCUCGGCGACGUCAUGGAGAAUGCACACAUGAUACGUGGGCUCGUGAAGGUGCAGCAGCAACAGCAGCAUCUCUUGCCGUCACACCUGUCUCGCGUGUCGUCGCUAGCCUCGCCGGACGACAAUGACGGACCGCUUCUCAUGAAGCAGCUCAUUCGUGUGACGCUGUACAAUCUUGAGGACAUGGAGCGGCUUCUACGCGCCGCCUACCCGGACGAGCUACCCAUGGGCACGAUGAACUGGGGCGGCGACGAGGUCGAGGAGGCGGAUAGGCCUACGCUGUUUUCGCACUCGUCACGUGUGCAUCGCACGCUGACACGCUCGCACGGGCAACGUCUCGGCUAUAACGGUGGCGGCACCGAUCACGAAGGCCGCCGCGACUCCACUGGUUGCGCGCACAGCACCAGCAGCGGCGAUGGUGGUGGAGUGAACUCAUCAUUGGAGACGCCGCGCAGCUCCACCCACACGGCGCCGUACGUGCGACGCAGUCCCUCUUUCGACCAGGCGAACCUUCUCACCAGCUCAUGGGCGGCAGCCAAUCAAGAGGACCACGACGGCGACAGCGAAGCCGCACCGACAGUACGCCUGACCGACACAACCCCCACGUCGCCCACCGGCGCCUACCCAUCAGCAUCUAUUCUGGCGCGGUCGCAGCAGGCAGACCCGCUUUCGUCGGCGUCGUCUUUCGUCGCUUCGGCGCCGAAGCCGUCCUCGCCGCGCGUCCGCUUCGUCAUUGGCGAGCCCCCUGAUUCCGAGGACCAGGACUCCUCUAUCUCCGAGUGUGCGCUAGCGCCCACGGCAAUCCCGAAACAGUCCUCUCCUUUCGGCAGUAACCUGCUGUCAAACCCCGUGGUGCGGCUCAGCUGCGCUGACAACGGUAAGCACAGUUGCAACAUCAGCGACAGCGGAAAUCGCGCCGUCCUCUCUUCACAGUCGCUGCUGAGCGUUGAAGGUGGCAGCACUGUGCAAUCUGCCUCGCUGGGGCACCAGCGCCCAUCGCUGACGAGUGCGCAGCACUUCUCGUCCUCUUCAGCAGCAGCGGCGUCGCUACCGUUGAUGGAGGCGGAGUGGAUGAACGCAGCCCCCAUCAUGCCCACGGUGUUCGAGGUGCGGCAGAAAACGGUGCCGUUCCUUGACAGAUGCAGAGACCGAGCGCCUGACGACUCCGUCACUGCCUCAACGCGCAGCACGGCCACCACCGGCGGCUUCCUCGACUCUUCGGCGUUGCAGUUGGGCGACGGCGCGCCACCCCCGUCCCGUAAUGGGAACAGCAGCGUCGGCAGCCGGGGAGGCAUAGGCCGCGCGCUGCCGCCGCCCGUCGGGCUGCCCCCGCGGUCACCGCGCCGGCAUGACCCGCAGCAGCUUGCUACCAGCCUCGCCUCCUCGUCUGGCGAUCAGCGGCUACCGCCUACUCCAGACCCCGCUUGGGUGGACCCCAACAUGCGUGUGAGAACGUACCACAUGCAACGGCUCCCGGGCGAACUCUGGGGCGUUAUUAUCGAGGGCCAUCAAGCUAAGAUGGAGGCCGCCUUCCGUGCGGAUAUGGUGGACCUGUUCAAAUAUGGCGAAGCGUCCCCGGCGCUGCGCAGCGAGGACGUGCACGAGGUAUACUUCACCGUGGUAGGCACGGACCUGUACAUCCGCAUAGGGCUGGAGCAUCUGUGCUCGAUGGCGGAGUCCGAGAUCAACACACGACUCAAUCUCUGCUCGUACCCGCACAUGACGGGGCUGUAUGAAGAGUUCUUCAAGGCGCAUCAGGCCAAGGAGCUCGACGCCGUCGAAGACAGCAUGGCGACGCCGGACAGCGACACGCCGCGGUACAGUGACACGUAUUCGAACGGCGGCGAUGGCACAAGGGGAGACGGGGAGGAAAAGAGCGCAAGCGACGGUAGGGUUGGACAGCGCUCCUUGAGUCUCUCGAGUGACCUGAACGCUGCCGAAGCCGCCGCGGUCGACUCGGCGGCUGCCGCGCGCACACCACCACUGCUGAUCGCAACAUACUCGCGCACAAUGUCGGUGGUGGGCGGCUCGGCAGCAACGUCCUGCGUCUUCAGCACGCCGAACCUGAGAGCCGCCGUUGGUGAAGACAGUGGAGGCUUGGGCGAGACAGGGCGUGAAGCGUCCGCUUCCGUCGCCCCGUGUGCCCUCGUCAGCGUCGAGAACAGCACUCACCUCCGGGAAGGAGCCACAUCGGUGUCGGCAUCGCGUCAUCCGCACACAGUGCGUAUUCCUGGUGCGCGAUGGGCACGUCUACUGCUCUCGCCUGUGCCGGAGAAGAGCGAUCUAAAGUCCGCCUUCGUCCAAGACACGGGCGUCGCUCUUGGCGUGCUGCCGUCCGAGGCCCGCGAGGCGUGCCAGGAGGUGCGCUUCUCCUUUGGCAGCCUUGUCGUGGACUUUAUGUGGGACAAUGGGGAGCUCUACCCGGGCGCGGAGCCGCUCUCGGCGCCAGAGAUUGACACAGCUCUGAAAAACUGCCUGUACCCCUCUGUGCGUGCCUUCUACACCAACGCCUGUGCCGCACUCCACCUCGACGACGAUCUCGCGGUAGUGCCUGCGCCGAAGCGCGCCAGCAGCACCGCUGAGUCUGUCGUCGUUCAUCUCAUCCUGCCGGAUAAGUCAGAGCUCGACUUGGCGUCAGACACGGACAGCGCGUUGGCGCUCGACAUGAGCGGCAAUGCAGAGAAAGGAAAGGCGGCAUCGGUGCCCAAGUCGAGCAGGGAAGACGACCUGUCAACGGCACGCUUGCCCAUGGCAUCACAGCUGGCGCAGGCAGAGAAGGCACCGUCAACGUUUCCGUCUACUGCGGCGACGGUGCUCUGCGCAGCAGACAGUGCAGCGGCGGCGUCGAGGAAAGUGGCCUCUUCACAGCAGCAGCGAGGUGCCCCGCUACCUUCGUUUAAUCGGACGGACAGCGCCAUGUCGAACGCGUCAGGCGAGGCCGAACCCCGCGUUGCUGUUCCUCAGCCAACGGUCGGUUCCCACAUACACUCUUCAAGAGGUCAGAAGCAGCGGCGGGUGCACUCACCAGCUGGCACACCUCGCGUCGGUAUCCCCGCAACAGGUAACGCCAACGCCGCCAACUCUCGGUCCUCGAAGGCGACUGCGCGGCGCGCCAUACCAAAGAGCUCGCAGGAGCCGGCAACAUUGAACCAAUUCACCCUUCUCCACGGAGUGUCGGUUCAGGUGCUGCGUCAGUGGAACCCCGCGCUGGCGGAGCUGGACGCCGACGCCGUCAUUCCGGCCACCGUCACGGUUUACAUUCCCCGCCUCUCGCUCUCCCCCAGCCGCGCACGUGGGCAAGUGGGGCCAGGCGUGACCUCCGAGGCCGGGCGCCACCGCCACCCAACCGACUGCGCCCUUGUAGACAAGACAAGCGAUAUUCCUCACCGCCGCACGGCGCGCCUCCCGACACCGGUUGCUCAUCCAAACGCCAAGGUGACCGCAGCAGCUGCAGCAUCACGCGCGGUAUCGAUGCCCGCCUCCCCAUCUCACGCGGUAGCUUCUCCGAAACCGCCGGCACAGGCGAGCGAGCCGGAGAAAGCGAAGAGCAGCACCAUCAUCACCAUCUCCAAGGAGGACAACACCCCCGCUGUUGCCACGCCGAGCAGGCCACCACCACUCUCCGUGGAGGACGUCGAGAAGUGCCGCUCCUUUCUCACUCUACCCACGUUGCCAAGUGCAACGGUGACCUCUGCCGCUCCAGCCGCAGAGCUGGCUCUGCCUGUCUCUCCCUUCCCCAUGACGACGUCUCACUCUGCCUCCCCAGUCCUGGAGACACCGGCAGCUGCAGGCGCCAAGGUGCCACCUGGUGCUGUCAACGCGGCCGUGGCACCCGCUCAGCCCGGCGCCGCCUCCACCAAGCCGACGGCGCCAUUUUCGUCUGCCGAGCCGGCCCUGACCGCAAGGAGCACACGCGAAGUGGUGCCGCAGGCUCCGCAGCCUGACGAGAACACGGCGGCCGUGGCGACGGCGGGAAGUCGAGUUCCGCCGGCGCACACGGUGUAUCAGCUGCUCAAACCGCAGACCGCGCAAGUCGCUGAGCCGAGGGGGAUCGAGGCGCUCUUGGUAGCUCAUAGCGUCCCUCGCCUGCAUCUGGACGGAGUGGCGUUCAAGGCCGCUGCAGCUGCUGACGACGUUGCUCGUGGCUUCGCUGUUGGCGACGACCACGUCGACCACGAGAACCACAAGGAAGCAGUCGAGGGGUCGGCGAUGCUGUUGGAGUGGGACCUGGGCCUGCGCCUCGACAAUCUCACGGUGGUGCAGGUGCGGCGCGGCUCUGUGGCUGCGCGAGCCAACGUGCAGCCCGGCGACACGCUGCGCACGAUGAAUGGGCAGGCGCUUCUCUGUCGAAGCGACUUCGAGCACGCCAUGGCGCAGCAGCUUCAGCAGCACAGAAAGGGAAGUGAAGAGUGCACAUUGUUCGUAACGGCGAUGACCAGCCGCGGCAUCCCUACAACGUAUCGUCUUCGUCUUCCGGCUCUUCGCCGCGACGGCGCGACGGCGCAGCCAGAUCAGCCACUGGCAGCGCAGCAGCAGGUACAGCCGCCCCCACGAAGGGCAGGGCCCCUCUCCGCACGGAUGUCAGGUGCAGCGAGAGGUGCCCCGCAGCAGCAGCGGGGACUGCAGCCCGCUACUCAAAGCUCCGCGAGAGUGCCAGUGGCAAGGGCAGCGCCGGCAUCUGCCCGCACGCCCGUGAGCAGUCUCGGUGCGGCUGCGCGGGUGUCGCGCGUAGUUCCGAUUAACACGAACGCGGUGCUGUUGUGUACUAUGAAGCCGCUGGACACGAUCCGCACUUCGUCGAUCGAUGCAGGUGGUGCUGAGUCCUUGCCAGGGUCUGCAUAGGGGACAGACCGCGAUGGCAGUGCGUCCAGCCGCACGCGAGCGUACGUCUCGUAGGCGAUAGUCAGCAUGUACAACAGGGCAGCAAAAAGGCACAAGUGGUAGCGGGGAAGAAAGCAGUGAUGCAGCCGCAUGCUCGGUGCUCCUGUUGAUCAUUCUCCAUGCACGCUCGCCUCCCUCCCCUCGUUGCCCGCGCCCACGCCACCCCUCAGCGUUUGGCUCGCAUAUAUCGCUACUCGUGCCGGUCGUGUGUCUCUUCCAUCCGCUCGCCGCCACAUGCCCCAGUGAUGCUUCGGAUGUUGUGCGUAUGUGCGCGCGUUUCUUUUUCCAUGUGAGCGUACUGCACCGGAUCAAGAAAUCAGGAGCACUUCUUCCGUACGAGCGCAACUCUACCUCUCUCUCUUUGUGUGUGUGUGUAUGUCACAGUCGGUCGAGUGGCCGGCGCCGGUGCUCGUCACGGCAGCCGCCUACCCUUACGCGCUCUUCCGUCUCGCUCACCUCACCUCCUGUCUCCACACCCGUCCUCUUACACGCGUGAGGAAGAAGAGAAGAACCACCACCGACACACUAACCGAAGUGCUUGCAUGCGUCUGUCCCAUAUUUGCGCGUUGCUGUGACCGCUCACCUACAUGGUGUCCCAUCUCUCCCUCUCCUGUGCGACCGCCUUGUCGGUGGGCCGUCAUCGGCGCCGUGGGUUUUCACUCGCCACCCCCCCCCUCCAUCCCAAUCCUUCGCGCACGCACGCACACCAUAAACGCAUGUGGGCAAACGCUGAGAACCGCGAGCGCAG
Molecule: unclassified non-coding RNA, 7158 nt
Filed under: Leishmania donovani
Lineage: Eukaryota; Euglenozoa; Kinetoplastea; Trypanosomatida; Trypanosomatidae
Description: gene:LdHU3.18.1020(CDS-product:hypothetical_prote in_conserved)
Source: RNAcentral